AGUGAACGCUGGCGGUAGGCCUAACACAUGCAAGUCGAACGGCGGCACAGUAAGAGCUUGCUCUUACGGGUGGCGAGUGGCGGACGGGUGAGGAAUACAUCGGAAUCUACUUUUUCGUGGGGGAUAACGUAGGGAAACUUACUCUAAUACCGCAUACGACCUACGGGUGAAAGCAGGGGAUCUUCGGACCUUGCGCGAUUGAAUGAGCCGAUGUCGGAUUAGCUAGUUGGCGGGGUAAAGGCCCACCAAGGCGACGAUCCGUAGCUGGUCUGAGAGGAUGAUCAGCCACACUGGAACUGAGACACGGUCCAGACUCCUACGGGAGGCAGCAGUGGGGAAUAUUGGACAAUGGGCGCAAGCCUGAUCCAGCCAUACCGCGUGGGUGAAGAAGGCCUUCGGGUUGUAAAGCCCUUUUGUUGGGAAAGAAAAGCAGCAGGUUAAUACCCCGCUGUUCUGACGGUACCCAAAGAAUAAGCACCGGCUAACUUCGUG
Molecule: ribosomal RNA, 492 nt
Filed under: uncultured bacterium
Lineage: Bacteria
Description: partial 16S ribosomal RNA
Rfam family: Bacterial small subunit ribosomal RNA
Source: RNAcentral